UACAGAGGUCCCGAGCGUUGUUCGGAUUUAUUGGGCGUAAAGGGUGCGUAGGCGGUGGAGUAAGUUGGGUGUGAAAUCCCGGGGCUCAACCUCGGAAUUGCAUUCAAUACUGCUUCGCUCGAGUACUGGAGAGGAGGCUGGAAUUUACGGUGUAGCGGUGAAAUGCGUAGAUAUCGUAAGGAAGGCCGGUGGCGAAAGCGAGCCUCUGGACAGUUACUGACGCUGAUGCACGAAGGCCAGGGGAGCAAACGGG
This 253-nucleotide ribosomal RNA is filed under the name uncultured bacterium. RNAcentral describes it as "partial 16S ribosomal RNA". It matches the Rfam family "Bacterial small subunit ribosomal RNA", at positions 524 to 776 of the family's 1533-position model. The record is from RNAcentral.